RNAcentral lists this transfer RNA (82 nucleotides) under Minicystis rosea. Its description in RNAcentral is "tRNA-Leu". It matches the Rfam family "tRNA". From Rfam's summary of the family: Transfer RNA (tRNA) molecules are approximately 80 nucleotides in length. Their secondary structure includes four short double-helical elements and three loops (D, anti-codon, and T loops). The record is from RNAcentral. Lineage: Bacteria; Pseudomonadati; Myxococcota; Polyangiales; Polyangiaceae.
GUCCGUGUGGCGGAAUGGCAGACGCAGCGGUCUCAGACACCGUGCCCGGAUGGGCGUGAGGGUUCGACUCCCUCCAUGGACA